UAGUCACCACCCUUGUUUGGGGAUUAUGUCAAAGUUCUGUGUGAAUGUGAGGCCAGGACCAAAUGUCAACAACCAAAGACCAACAACCAUGGGAGGUAGGUGUCGCCUGGAAAGAACAAGGAGCUGCCAGUGUCACACAACUAUACAGAGAGAGAGUUGGGCUCUCCUGCUUUCCACUGGAAGCUGCCCCGAUGCCCUGCCACCCUGCCCAACUCUGUCCCUCUGUCCAGCCUGGGGGCGUUUCAAGCCCUACUAGGAGGCCAGUAAUCAAGGAAAGGUAGGUUUCUGG
Long non-coding RNA from Lagenorhynchus albirostris (white-beaked dolphin), 289 nucleotides. RefSeq lists it as uncharacterized. The transcript has 3 exons. NCBI's taxonomy places the organism in Eukaryota, Metazoa, Chordata, Mammalia, Artiodactyla, Delphinidae. The record is from RefSeq and is a predicted model, not a curated record.